This 465-nucleotide ribosomal RNA is filed under the name uncultured bacterium. RNAcentral describes it as "partial 16S ribosomal RNA". It matches the Rfam family "Bacterial small subunit ribosomal RNA", at positions 28 to 507 of the family's 1533-position model. The record is from RNAcentral.
GACGAACGCUGGCGGCGUGCUUAACACAUGCAAGUCGAACGGAAAGGCCCCUUUGGGGGUACUCGAGUGGCGAACGGGUGAGUAACACGUGAGUAACCUGCCCUUGACUUCGGGAUAACUUCAGGAAACUGGGGCUAAUACCGGAUAGGAAUCCUUGCUGCAUGGUGGGGGUUGGAAAGCUUCGGCGGUUUUGGAUGGACUCGCGGCUUAUCAGCUUGUUGGUGGGGUAGUGGCUUACCAAGGCUUUGACGGGUAGCCGGCCUGAGAGGGCGACCGGCCACAUUGGGACUGAGAUACGGCCCAGACUCCUACGGGAGGCAGCAGUGGGGAAUAUUGCACAAUGGGCGGAAGCCUGAUGCAGCAACGCCGCGUGCGGGUUGACGGCCUUCGGGUUGUAAACCGCUUUCAGCAGGGGCGAAGCUUGUGGUGACGGUACCUGCAGAAGAAGCACCGGCUAACUACGUG